This 4001-nucleotide unclassified non-coding RNA is filed under the name Hevea brasiliensis (rubber tree). Lineage: Eukaryota; Viridiplantae; Streptophyta; Magnoliopsida; Malpighiales; Euphorbiaceae. The record is from RNAcentral.
UCCACUCUGAACAAUUUUGGGUUAAAAUAUAAAAAUAUAAAAAACAGAACUGGGAAAAAAAAUUAUUCAUAACUAAUACAAUUCAGUGCAGAUGAGUUUCUAGCAGAUGAAUCAAGUGAAAAAUGUUAGCAUUAGGCAGAGUGUUUGCGCACACAGUAAGCAUAUGCAGUGAAUCAUUAUCCUAAGUGCAAUGAAGAUAAAUCAAGCCAAUGCAAUGGUGUUACAAAGAUCCUCAAAUUCUAGCAACACUGUGGUUCACUCAUUCAGAUUUCUCCAAACUUGAACGCUUUAACUGCCGGAACACCGGACAGCAUCUGUGGUGCCGGAUAAACAUGACAACAACAAAAGUAUUAGCAGCCAGAAACAGUAAGCUUGCUAGCCAAAGCUGUAGGAAAACAUUUUUGCCCUUAAAUUCAAGCAGAUAACCCCAGAACAACCAAUGGCUCUGAGCACCAAUCCAUACAAGCGUGCAAUAUAUGCCUACCCACCUCAGCUUCAUAUUGCUCCAUGGAAGUGUCAAUGGCAACAAGCAAAAGAACCAGACAAAGUACUGUGCCGUGAUUACCUAAAAAAAGGGAUAGAACCCACACAGUUGAAAACAUCAAGUAGGUUAUAAAAAUUUUCUGAAAACAUGAUUCCAGAAACCAGAGUUAUAUAUCAAGAGUGGAAGAGUGCAUUUUGACUAGUUGUAACAGAAACUUGAUUUCUUCCUCAAUUUCAAUAAAAAUAAAUAAAAGGAAAAUAAGGGGAAACAUAUCUCAUUUUGCAUAACUAGAAACAAGAAAGAUGUGAAAUUCGAUAAAGAUGCAUUUGAACGAUAAUAACAAACCUUGUUGAAUGCUACAAACGCCACUGUCUGUAGGAAAAAGCAAAAUGGAAGAUCUGGUGCAAAGCAGAAAAUGAGAACCAGCUGCACUAUCAGUUGAGGCAGAAAUGAGAUAAGUUUUUCCACCAUUGAAAAUUCACGUUCAUAAUGGAGAUAUAUGUGAUAGAAAUAGAUGGAAAAAUUGUGUCUUGGAUCUGUACGAGUGAGAUGGUAGAGCAGUGCCUCAUUUAAGAACUCCCAUCCAUACAAGUAGAAAAAAAGAGCAGUACAAGAGAGAAAAACAGCUCCUGAAAUCAUUCCAAACAUAAUUCUCUCUCUUGUAAAUAUCCUUUUCAACACAGUCCAUAUACCAAAUUCCCCAGGUCCUUCUGUACUCUGUGAUGUCUUCUGUUGACUGGAUUUCCAAUUCACAAGAAGAGGCUUCUGACCAGAUUGGAAGAAGCAUUGAUCAAGAACCAAAACAAUAGGGAGUGCAUAGAUUAUAGGAUAAAUUCUGAAAUGGACAACUAGUCCAUACCAAACUGCAGCUUGGACCACAUUACCUAUAUAACAGAAAAAAGAACAGCAUAAAAAGUAUUAGAUGUAUAAAAGAACAAGGGAAGUUGACAGUACCCAAAACAGAGAGAGAAACUCAAAGAACCUGAACCCCUUCAAUUUCUAAUGGAUUUGCUUCAAAGCAUAUAAUUAAUUAUAGAUAUUCUUGCCUUUGAAAAUUCAACAAAGUUCAAUUUCAAUGUACCAAGCUCAAAAAGAGUUCCAGCCCCUAAAACUUGUUUAUUGAAAAUUUAAAGCAUUUAAUUUUUCUUUGUCUUCAAAAAUACUAGCCAAGGAAACAAUUAUCAUUUUAGUUGUUGAGGAAAAAUAUCAAAUAUUUAGCAUGUAAUUGUCAAAUUAGACAAUGCGAGUGAAUCACACAAACUAGAGAACAUAUUAUUAAUAUCUAGGACUAGUAGAGUAUUUUCUUUCUCCAAGCAUAAAUCCAUCACACAUUCUGAGAGACAGUUCAGACAAUUAAGUUUCCUUCAAGUUCAAGGCUGCAACAAGAACUUGCUCCCUGAAUUUAAAGUUUAUGCAUAUCUUGAUGGCAAAUUGGCGAUAUUGCAACCCAUUUUAAAUGCAUCAAUAGAAACAAUUUAAAUUGGUUAACAAGUUGAUGUUUUAAAAGAAACCAGCAACAUCAUCUAUUUCAGUAUAGGAAUGUAGAAGUAGAAAUAUACCAUCCAUAAGACAGAUAAUGGUCCACAAAAUCAUGGCACAAACAAUGGGCUCACAGUUCCCACGGGUUCCAAUUGUGAAGGUAAAUGGAUUGAGGAGCCAUACCAUUACAGAAUAUAAGCAAAGAUCCUCAGGCACCUUACGACGCUUCAAAAUGUUGUGGAUAAACAAGCCCACAAGUAAAUCUGCAAUACGUGCAUAUUAAUCACAGCUAAAAAUAAAAUCAUUAGGAAGGGAGAGGAGGAGGAAGCGGGGGAGGGGGAAGAGAAAAAGCAAGUCAAUCCAGAUAGAAAGAGUUUGCGUGCAGUUAAAUUAUAAACUUCUUUCAUGUUUCCAUCAAAUGAACUGUGGGAAUAACAAUCAAUGGUGUGGGAAAAAAAUCAGAGUUGCUGUAGAACAGAAAUUUACUCCGUUAUGAUUCCACAUUAUCACCACUCAGAUAGGAUAGCCUAAAGACAAUGGAUUAGUUUAGCAGAAGCUAUUUAAGCAAGUUGGUGCUAGUUUUUCUUCAAAUUCAUUACCAAAGCAAUCUGAAAUUCAAGGCAAACAAGGAUGAGUAAAUAAUCUAGCAUCACAUUGGUGUUGCUAAGAAUCACUUACUAUUAACUCUUAAGCAUUGCAUCUAAAAGAACGAAGCAUUACGCAUACAAAUUUUAGUAUGGCAUACAAAGCUGAAAAAUUUUACCCGAUGCAAAGUAUGCGAGGAGAUAUUUUUGGAGAGUAACGUGUUCUGUACUUGUUUGACAUAUAGAAUUCUAUAUGUGAAAAACUAUUAACACAGAUAUCCCAACAUGGAUCCCCAAACAAAGAAGCUAUCUAUAAAAUGAAGAGAAAGGGGGUGAAGGGGGAAUUUUACUACGUAAAAUACCAUAAACCAAAUCAUGCUAGGAAAACAAGCCAAAGUAUUAAAUAGAAAUUUUAAGUUGGAAACUUUACUUACCUAAAGCAGAGAAGAGGAAUUUACCCCAUGAGCGAUGAAUAAUGGAAUUGGGUAUGAGCAGAAAAGCGAGCAAAGGUGAAUACCGGUAAGUACUUCUUUUGUAAGGGGAUUCUCCGGAAGCCAUUAACGAGGCAGCAUCAGAAAAGACAAGGUAAUCCACAUCUGUAUAUCUAACUUCCAUAUGGGUAUCUUGCCAUUCUCCAUAAAUUAUCAAAAUGAGUCGAAAAAUUGCUGAGAAUAGUAGUAAUUGGUUCAUGUUUAUCCAUGUCAUAGCUGCUACACUUUGUGAACUCUCCGUUUUGUCUCAUAGAUAUCUCUCUCUCUAAAACAAGUGAAAAUGACCAGAAACUUAAUGACUGAUCCCCAUUUUGGCAAAUCACUGCGCCGAUGGGUCGCCGCUAGAAUCCAACUGAAAACGCAAUAUAACGCCGCUGCUCGUGAAUCAACGCCUGGACCAGGCGCCUCCGUUGGCAGAGCAGAAGCUUGUGCAGCGCGGUUCUUCGACUUCUUUGUACUCGGAGUCGCCGCAGGUUGAGGAAGAGAUUUUGGUCUGAUGGCGGAGAGCUCACCAGUUCUAUAGGAUAGAUUACAGAUGAUAAAUAUUAACCUGAACCAAACCGUAAAAAGCCGGUUUUGAUCUGAUUUAAAAUCAAUUUUAAUUUUGAUUUUGAUCCGAUUUUGACCGAACUGAUUCCGGUUCAAAACCAGACCGUAGCCACCCCUAUGUAGCAGAGCGUUGGGUUUGGAGGGAUCGGCCAAGGAAGGUGCAGGACCAUGCAAGAGAGAAAAGGCCAAGUUCUGUUUUAGUAGAAGCAAUUAACGAGAUUAGAGUUGCCAGAUGUUGUAAGUGGCGUCGGCAGUGGUGAUGGUGGAGGAUGGUGGUUAUCGAUAGAAGCAGUGGUGGGGAUUGGCGGAAGCAAGAGGGAAAGGGCUAUCGUGAGUUUAAGGGAGGACUUGCGUUUUGGGGCAGAGAAACAGAGGAAUAGAGAUGGGGAGGGUAAUUUUGGAAAGAAAUAUUUU